This 370-nucleotide ribosomal RNA is filed under the name uncultured bacterium. RNAcentral describes it as "bacterial SSU rRNA". It matches the Rfam family "Bacterial small subunit ribosomal RNA", at positions 525 to 896 of the family's 1533-position model. The record is from RNAcentral.
ACGUAUGUCGCAAGCGUUAUCCGGAAUUAUUGGGCGUAAAGGGCAUCUAGGCGGUCAAUCAAGUCGAAGGUGAAAACUUGUGGCUCAACCAUAAGCUUGCCUACGAAACUGAUUAACUAGAGUACUGGAGAGGUGGACGGAACUACACGAGUAGAGGUGAAAUUCGUAGAUAUGUGUAGGAAUGCCGAUGAUGAAGAUAGUUCACUGGACAGAAACUGACGCUGAAGUGCGAAAGCUAGGGGAGCAAACAGGAUUAGAUACCCUGGUAGUCCUAGCUGUAAACGAUGAUCACUGGGUGUGGGCAGGAAGACUGUCUGUGCCGAAGCUAACGCGAUAAGUGAUCCGCCUGGGGAGUACGACCGCAAGGUUG